CUACGGGAGCCAGCAGUGGGAAUCUUGACAAUGGGCGCAAGCCUGAUCCACCCAUGCCGCGUGAGUGAUGAAGGCCUUAGGGUCGUAAAGCUCUUUCGCCAGAGAUGAUAAUGACAGUAUCUGGUAAAGAAACCCCGGCUAACUCCGUGCCAGCAGCCGCGGUAAUACGGAGGGGGUUAGCGUUGUUCGGAAUUACUGGGCGUAAAGCGCGCGUAGGCGGGCUAGUAAGUUAGAGGUGAAAUCCCAGGGCUCAACCCUGGAACUGCCUUUAAUACUGCUAGUCUUGAGUUCGAGAGAGGUGAGUGGAAUUCCGAGUGUAGAGGUGAAAUUCGUAGAUAUUCGGAGGAACACCAGUGGCGAAGGCGGCUCACUGGCUCGAUACUGACGCUGAGGUGCGAAAGUGUGGGGAGCAAACAGGAUUAGAUACCCUGGUAGUCCACACCGUAAACGAUGAAUGCCAGUCGUCGGGUAGCAUGCUAUUCGGUGACACACCUAACGGAUUAAGCAUUCCGCCUGGGGAGU
RNAcentral lists this ribosomal RNA (522 nucleotides) under uncultured Roseobacter sp. Its description in RNAcentral is "bacterial SSU rRNA". It matches the Rfam family "Bacterial small subunit ribosomal RNA", at positions 339 to 881 of the family's 1533-position model. Lineage: Bacteria; Pseudomonadati; Pseudomonadota; Alphaproteobacteria; Rhodobacterales; Roseobacteraceae. The record is from RNAcentral.